AACGAACGCUGGCGGCAUGCCUAACACAUGCAAGUCGAACGAGACCUUCGGGUCUAGUGGCGCACGGGUGCGUCACGCGUGGGAACCUGCCCUUAGGUUCGGAAUAACUCCCCGACAGGGGUGCUAAUACCGGAUAAUGUCUUCGGACCAAAGAUUUAUCGCCCUUGGAUGGGCCCGCGUUGGAUUAGCUAGUUGGUAGGGUAAAAGCCUACCAAGGCGACGAUGCAUAGCUGGUCUGAGAGGAUGGUCAGCCACACUGGGACUGAGACACGGCCCAGACUCCUACGGGAGGCAGCAGUGGGGAAUAUUGGACAAUGGGCGAAAGCCUGAUCCAGCAAUGCCGCGUGAGUGAUGAAGGCCUUAGGGUUGUAAAGCUCUUUUACCCGGGAUGAUAAUGACAGUACCGGGAGAAUAAGCGCCGGCUAACUCCGUG
This 433-nucleotide ribosomal RNA is filed under the name uncultured bacterium. RNAcentral's name for it is "partial 16S ribosomal RNA". It matches the Rfam family "Bacterial small subunit ribosomal RNA", at positions 29 to 507 of the family's 1533-position model. The record is from RNAcentral.